RNAcentral lists this long non-coding RNA (3127 nucleotides) under Triticum aestivum (bread wheat). RNAcentral describes it as "long non-coding RNA (TAES_LNC004520)". The record is from RNAcentral. Lineage: Eukaryota; Viridiplantae; Streptophyta; Magnoliopsida; Poales; Poaceae.
AUCUAGAUAACAUCCUUGUUCUCCUGGGCCUUGCUUUCUGUACUUCAUCUUCAUCUUCAAGCAUUGUAUUUUUGGCUUUUGCUUUAACACGUUUCUUGUUACCAUGGACACCUUUUUCGUUUUGUUCAGGCAUAUUCGUCUCAAUGCAUUCAUCCUCCGAGCCAUCUGAUAUUACAACAGAUCUCAGUCUCCUUUUAUUGCCACUUCGGAGCUCACGGGAUGAUGACGAUAUUUUGUCUUGACUCUUAUCUUUGUUUAAUGUAGUCCCAUUGAUGUCAUGUGGCUCCUCUUUCACAGGCACCAGUUCGCAUGAAAGUUUGCCAGGUGAAACUUUAUUAUUCUUUGACUGCAAACAUAUACAUUUUUAAAAUUAGACACAUCUAUAAAAUCUAAAGUGUGUAUAUAGUUUUAAAAAAUCAAUCACCUUUCUAUCUAGCAUGUUCUGCUUCUUCAUUAAUACGAUGUCAACCUCAUCAUCCAUCAGUUCCUGUGCAACAUAUGUAAGAUUAAUUAGUUAAGGAAUUCUAAAAAUGGUAAAAAUUUAAUGCAACUUUACCUCCUCGGCUUUAUUGUCCAAGUAGAGCAUCUCAAGCUUAUCAUCAGGAACAAAUGUUCUUUUUACUGCAUAGUUUUUUGUGCCAAAUGUGAGAUUACUAUCAUUGAGCUUGAAUCGAAAUAUAAGUCUUUUUCCACAUAAUUGUUGAAUAAUCUUUGGUGCUUCUUCUAAUUUCCCAUCUACUGUGUCCAACAACUUAGAUGCAGACAUAUUAACCAAUCUUGCAGCCUCCUCGUUAAAUAAAGUGCAGCUUGUAGUAGAUGUAUGGUCACUAAUUUGGAGACGAACACGAUACCUAACAUACAAUUCAUUUUAGUGGAGAGUAAAUACAAUAUAACAAUGCUUGUUCAUAUUUUAGUAAUAUAAUAUGCUUACCGUGGUGUGACCUUUUCUAGAUAUAUACCACAAUUCUUGCAAUAAUACUUGUCGGUUUCUUUAGUAGCCAAUUUGUGACACUUACACAUGACAUGUACCACCAUUGAAUAUUUUCUUGCAAACAGUCUAUUGUAGCUAUUGCUGUGAAGACAAAAUUCUAAAAAAAAUCAACGUUAGCAUUGGGGUAGGGGUAGGGGAUUAAGAGACAUAUAUAAGUACAUUAUGGUUUCAUUAUAAUUAAUAUUGAAUGAAUUGUCCUUGCAGGUAUUUUACUCAUAUUACAAAGACUAAUGACAUAUUUAUUGAAAUUCAAUGCAUUACCUGGUCUAGCUGGUUUUCGUGCCUCAUUGUAGUAAGUUGUUCCAAUUUUUUCCUCCUACAAAACAUUUGUUCUUCUAGUGUUCCUUGAUUACUCCUAUCUAUACUGAUCAUUUUUGGUAAGGUUUCUUCUGUCGAGUCCCUGCACAUGCAUGAAGUGAAUAAUAAUAUUGAAUCUUAAAUGAACGUGAGUCACUAUUUAUAAGUGGAAAAUAAAUAAAUUGGUGGUAUUUCAUACCUAUCAAGAAGUUCUUGUGUUUCUGGUAUAUCCAGAUCUAUGUAUAUUCUUGUGGCACUGGUUGACUUUAGGCACAGACCAAUUUAAUCCAUCAGUUAGAAUUUUAAAUGAUAAAAAUAACAUGUAAGUUUGAUGGAUUUACCAUUAAAUCUCUGUACCAUCGUUGAUGUAAUAAUAAGGACAGUUUGGCUGCCGAUUACAUCCUCGGUCAAAAAAUAAGCAAACUUUCCCCAUAACGUGAUUCUGAUUUUAUCACCCCUAAAGCAUUUAAUACGAGAAGUUAGUGCACACGGGGAGGUUUGAUUAAAUUUGAGACAUGCAUAUGCAUAUGCACUUACUCUGGCAUUAGGAUUUCAAUCUCGCGGAUAUAUGAAGGUUGUUGGUUCUUCUUUGUUAUUCUUGUCUCCACAGGCUUCAUUUGUGUUAGUAGUCCAAUGACAUCUGCAUAUUUGGAUAUUAGUGAUAUAACAAUUAGAAUAUCAACUAUUUCUAAGUCGAAAUUACAACUAUAAACAUACCUGAGCAUUGUGUAUCUUUUUCUGCCAUUUCUUAUAGUGUCUCCAUGGUAGCAAACUCGAAGCAAUAAUCUGGGAAAACUUCUAAAGAUUCUUUUAUCUCCUUUACCUUUGUAUUGUAUGCAAAAAAAUAUUUUAAUGUCAUUGCUCACUGGCCUAUAUUUUGUGGAUUCCACGACCUUAAAAUUGCUGAAUGCAUAAAUAGAUUUUUCAUUGAUCUUUGAUCUAAAAGUGUCUAUAAGAUUCUUCCAGAUAGUAACAUGGAUUGUUUCACCCUGCCGAAAGAAUAAAAUAUGGUUAGUAAUUGUUUCUUCAUGUGACAGAAAGAUUCCAAUUAAAUAUAUUAAAAAAACACCUGCUCGUCCAUUAGUAUCAUAUCUAGGCUAAUAAGCUCAUCGGUCGUAGGAUUGAUCGAAUCCCAUAUUCUCAUUACUUUCACUUGAAUGUUCCAAUUUUGUCCCAUUGUAGUUAAGUCGCUCAACUUUUUGUAUGCCAUAGUGUUAUGUCUUCAAAAUUAACAGGAACAAUUUGUCAGUUGAUAUACUAUUUAUGAAGAUUUCUAUUGAAAAGAAAGUAAGCAUACUAAAUAAAAUUACCAAUCUGAUGAUGUAGGCCAGAAGUGCUUUGGGGUCACUUCUUCCGACGUGGAUUGUAGCAGCUGGGCGUAACUUUGUCGGGCGUCGACUGUGCUCUGGCGUGACUUUGUUGGAAGUCAAAAGAAGCGGCUGGAGGUGGCUUUCGGUGUGGAUGUCGAGUUGCGUGUGCCUUGUUCAAGUCUUCGUGGUUGCCGACUUCUACUUAUUUGUUGGGUGCUUGUGCGGCCAGGUGCACUUGUUUAUAUAAUGGGUUAAGGUGUCUAGGUUGGGUGUCCGAGACCGUGUGGAGAUCAUAUUGUAAACUUGUCUUAUCUGCAUGUAAUCGUUUCUGUUUUGGAACUUUCCUCACGUGGUCUGGUGGCUGUCCUUAUUUGUUUAGAUUCCUUAUUUGUCUAGGUUUGACUAUUGUUUGUUGUUAUCCUUGACCCAUUGAUGUGAAGGUUUUUUUUGUUUGUGCGUGCUAGUUUUGUUUCGAUGGACAUGAACGCUCUUUUAAACCUGUGUGCACUAUUUGUAUGUGCCAUGUUCU